UUUGUGGAGGGUUCGAUUCUGGCUCAGGAUGAACGCUGGCGGCGUGCUUAACACAUGCAAGUCGAACGGGAUCCCAGGAGCUUGCUCCUGGGUGAGAGUGGCGAACGGGUGAGUAAUGCGUGACCGACCUGCCCCAUACACCGGAAUAGCUCCUGGAAACGGGUGGUAAUGCCGGAUGCUCCGACUCCUCGCAUGGGGUGUCGGGAAAGAUUAUAUCGGUAUGGGAUGGGGUCGCGUCCUAUCAGCUUGAUGGCGGGGGAACGGCCCACCAUGGCUUCGACGGGUAGCCGGCCUGAGAGGGCGACCGGCCACAUUGGGACUGAGAUACGGCCCAGACUCCUACGGGA
RNAcentral lists this ribosomal RNA (347 nucleotides) under Bifidobacterium catenulatum subsp. kashiwanohense. RNAcentral describes it as "bacterial SSU rRNA". It matches the Rfam family "Bacterial small subunit ribosomal RNA", at positions 1 to 346 of the family's 1533-position model. Lineage: Bacteria; Bacillati; Actinomycetota; Actinomycetes; Bifidobacteriales; Bifidobacteriaceae. The record is from RNAcentral.